This is a long non-coding RNA of Bos indicus x Bos taurus (hybrid cattle), 1128 nucleotides long. NCBI's taxonomy places the organism in Eukaryota, Metazoa, Chordata, Mammalia, Artiodactyla, Bovidae. The record is from Ensembl.
GAUUCAGUCAAGGCUCCGUUUAGAAGCAACAACCCAAUUUGUCACUCACCCAUUCCUCAUUCCCUCAGUGACCAGUGAGUUUGUUCAUAAGGCAGGUCUGGGUGUUGGGCAGAAUGAGCCUCUGCUUACUGGCCUAAUCCAGAGGGCUUUCCUAUGAUGUGUUGUUUUCUAUUACCAGCACCUCCGCUUCAUGCCAUACUCUUGGCUAAUUGAAGCUGCUGAAGGCAAGAGGAUUCCACUAAUGGACUCGGCUCUCCCUCAGGGGUCAGACGCCAAGACAAUGUCACAGCGGUGGAAGGAAGAGCCCAGAUGGCCCGGCUCAGGUGGUGAAGGCCUUUAGAAUCUGCCUUGAGGCUCUCAGUGGCUUUAGAUCGAAAACCAUCUUGGCCCCUUCCAGCAGCGUAAGGCAUUUUAUGACAGCCUGAAAGCACAGAGCUUAAACAGAAUGAUGAUCACAGGGCAGGAAUUUGGACUCCAGGAGAACUGCCUAAGCACAGAUUAUUUUUCUCCGGUAUUUGAUGAGAACAAACGAAGUAAGAAUUUUCCUUUUGUUCGUCUGGCCUCUGGCAUUGUUUACUUUCUUUUUAUUAUUCUCGAAGGCACUUAGAGCUCUGGCAGCGUUUCUGUCCUAAAAUCUUAUUGUCAGAGGUUUAUUUUUCAGCUGUUUCAAAUCAUAUCUGAUAGAGUGAGUGCUUUGCCUGGGUUCAUCGCUUUACCUCAAAAGAAAUAAAGUUCACCCUUUAAAUGACAAUAUUGAUUGUCUACAGCUUUAAGUUUUCUACACUUAAGCUGCAGGCUUCAUUUCAAAACCUGUUUUCCCUCAUCACAGAGGAACGAUGGUGGAAGUCUCACUCUGCUGGAGUCUGGGACGUGCGUCGGAGAGUCUGGACUUCACGUGCUGCUCUUCCAAAACAAGGACAGGAUAUCAACCCAGAAAAAUGAGCCCUUCAGACCUGCGAUGAUCUGUGAAAAGCUCAGAUGGACUUAGCAGGCAUUUUCUUGACACCUGGGAAAAGUCAGCAUGUGAGAGAGGGAGUAGCAUUAUGGUUACGAGGCUACGUUCUAGAGCUGGGCUGCCUGGUUGAAUGCCAGCUACUCAGCUGUAGUGGGUUAAACGGUGCCCCCUGC